Molecule: long non-coding RNA, 1255 nt
Filed under: Anas zonorhyncha (Eastern spot-billed duck)
Lineage: Eukaryota; Metazoa; Chordata; Aves; Anseriformes; Anatidae
Description: lncRNA (ENSAZOG00000018148.1)
Source: RNAcentral
AUCCGUUCAUCUGCAGCUCAGCAGCUGAGCUCCAUUUCCUGACCUCAGAUGCCUCUCCUCAGGCCAAGCAGAGCCCUUCAAGAACCAGCUUAAAGCCGGUUUUGCAGCCUGAUCUCCAGGAAAUGCUAAAACAGCCACAAAUGAGGGGAAAAAAAUAAUUCAAAGGAGUUUGAAAACAUGAAAACAGCCCAGUGCUGCCACUCUGUAAGCAACAAGGAGUGGAGGCCCUUGGAGGAACACAAGAACAGGUUGUCUGUGGUAGCUACACAACUGCUACAUGUCUGCUGAGUGAGCCAGCCCGUGGAGAUGAACAAUUCAACCAAAUUCAUGCAGGAAAACAGAGCCUGACCCCAGUCCUGGCACCACCCUGCUUCGCUGGCAGCUGGCAGCACAGCAGCCAGGAGGAAAGGCUGGGGCUUAAGUGAUUUAACUUGGAGAGCACAGCAGCAAGAGUGAAAUCCACUUACACGGGCUAAUUGAUCAUGAAUGACUCCUUAAUUAGAAAUUAGAGAAAUGCCCCCAAACUUAAGAGGAGAAACGGGACCAAGGUGUUGAUGAGCUGAGGGGUAUUCAUGUGAUUCUGGAUUUUCCUUCAAAGAUGCUCUCGCCAAUUAACUUUUCAUGACAGAAAUUUGUUUGCCUUAAUACAGCCAGUUAGAAGCAUUUUCAGAUACAUUAUUUAAGGCCUGAAAAUAAAUAGUGACUGCUCAGCCUGCGCUCUGUGAAGCUCAGAGCCGCUCGCCUUCUCGCUCAAUUAUUGAUGGCACUUUCAAGCUGCAUUUGAGACACUCCUGCCUGCACAGGGGAAAAUCCUGGCUUGUUUACUUGCUUGCUCUAUUCCUCAAAGUCUCAAAAAAUCUCAUUCGGUGAUGGAUUUGAGGCUUUUAUCACCCUGUAUUUCACCCUUGCCACAGCAGAGGAUUUAUUUCCGAAGCCCCACCUGUGAGCUGCCAGCCCCGGAAAUUUCUCACCACAGGCACUAAAGGUGGGACGAUGCAGUGAGAUUUCACUUAGUGUAUCUUUUUUAUUAAAAAAAAGGAAAUGCCAGCGAUGACACAACACGAUUCCACCACCAAGGGAAAGUUGCACACUUGCUAGCUGGAUGAGCACAGGAUGCUUCUGAAGCACCCGAGACUGACUGCAAGGUCUGACUGAUGCUUUUCUCACUUGAUGGACUUUUAUCUCUCUCCCAGCAUGGGCUUUCUGAUGUUUAAUAAGGUAUGAGCUUUUUUUUUGCUCACUGAGACAUUUGCAG